GACGAACGCUGGCGGCGUGCCUAAUACAUGCAAGUCGAACGAAAGCGCCCGGUGCUUGCACUGGUCAAUCUAGUGGCGAACGGGUGAGUAACACGUGGGUAACCUGCCCAUCAGAGGGGGAUAACAUCCGGAAACGGAUGCUAAAACCGCAUAGGUCUUCGAACCGCAUGGUUUGAAGCGGCAAAGAGGCGCAGGCUACUGCGGAUGGAUGGACCCGCGGUGCAUUAGCUAGUUGGUGGGGUAACGGCUCACCAAGGCCGUGAUGCAUAGCCGACCUGAGAGGGUGAUCGGCCACAUUGGGACUGAGACACGGCCCAAACUCCUACGGGAGGCAGCAGUAGGGAAUCUUCCGCAAUGGACGAAAGUCUGACGGAGCAACGCCGCGUGAGUGAAGAAGGUCUUCGGAUCGUAAAACUCUGUUGUUAGAGAAGAACAAGUGCUAGAGUAACUGUUAGCGCCUUGACGGUAUCUAACCAGAAAGCCACGGCUAACUACGUG
RNAcentral lists this ribosomal RNA (498 nucleotides) under uncultured bacterium. Its description in RNAcentral is "partial 16S ribosomal RNA". It matches the Rfam family "Bacterial small subunit ribosomal RNA", at positions 28 to 507 of the family's 1533-position model. The record is from RNAcentral.